This 3474-nucleotide long non-coding RNA is filed under the name Homo sapiens (human). Its description in RNAcentral is "HSALNT0379836". The record is from RNAcentral. Lineage: Eukaryota; Metazoa; Chordata; Mammalia; Primates; Hominidae.
GAUCAGUAAAAUAAUGAUGUAUUUUACAAUUGAUGUGAUUGAUACAUCAUACAAUUUUUAGAAAAUGCUUUUAGUAUUAACAAAUGAUCAUUCAGUGGUUUGUAUACACCUGGUAUUAUUCUACAUGCUUGAUGUAUUAUUAAUUCAUUCAAUCUUCACAGCAUCUCAGGAGGGAGACAGUAACACCACUCCCGUGAUCCAAUUCUGAAUCUAAGCCCAAGUCCUACAAGAAAUAAACAGAAAAACCUGAGCUUGACUCAGCCUGUUUCCAGAAUGCUUGCUCACAUCAAAUAUGUUAGAGUAUCUUUUAUCUUAUAUAGUAAAUACUUUAUAGGUUUAGUUUAAGAAUUGUUACUCUUCACCACAGUCAUGAAGCUAUCUUUUUAAGUUCUAAAUAAUGUAUUAAAUUGUUUUUAUAUUUAGGUCUGUGAUCCAUUUGGAAUAGGUUAUGUGUGUAAUGUGAGACGGUAGAUUUUAUUUCCAAUGACGCAUAUUCACAUCCCUACAUUUAUUGAAAAUUUAUUUCCCCACUAAUUUAUCUUAUAUAUUAUUUGCCUAUAUAUGCAUGUGUUCGUUUUUAAGCUCUCUUUAAUUUUUUUCCAUUGAUAUUCUCCAUCUUUGUGCAAAUACUGAGUUAGUCCCUUCAUUUAAUGCAAGAAUUUUCCUCCAGUGCCCUUUCUGUUGUCCACUGUACUGUUCUAUAAUGAAGUAAAAGAAGGGUGAAAAUUUGCACACCUUACACCUACACCAGGAUUCCCAGCUGUAUCUUGAAGGAAGCGGAGGUUAGAACUUUCAAGAUUAAUGUCGACACUAAUGUCUCUAAUGUCCUUGUGAAUCUUAGGCAAUUCUCCCGAGAUACUUUCUGCUUUAUUGUGUGUGCGUGUGUUUAACGUUCUCAGUGAAUUCCAUUUGCUGUCAGGACUCCUGAUUUUCUUUCCCUGCUUUUAGGAUACUCAGUGACUUUCUACUCCCCUAGCAACAGCCAGCAGUGGUAGGAACCUGCACAGACAACCCCAGUACCUUGUGCGCGGGCGCAGACACGCCAAGGGUGGUGGGUUGCUUCCUCCAGACCACGCCCACCGAUGCCGGCAGCAGCUGGUGCAGCGGAGCUCAGAUCCUCUCUGUGGGGUCUGCACCGGCAAGGGCAGCUGCUCCCUGCCUUUCCUCAGGAGUCAGUGGAGAUGAAUUUUCUCUGAUUGUCAGAUGUUCACAAAGGCUUUAACUUGUAUGAAUGAACUCCGAGACCACCUUUCUGAAUGCACAGACCUGCCACGUUGUUGCUGUGUAAGCAUGAAUUUCAUCAUAUUGUCAGCUUUUCAUCUUACCCAAAAGCUAUAAACAUUGGCUAAAGUCCUCAAUUGCUUGCUCCUCAUUUUUGUAAAUGUGUGCAUGGCAUUUCCUUGAACAGAUGGCUCAUAAAACAGAUAUAAAUUCUCUUUGAUGAGUAAAUACGAAAAUUGUUUUCAGUUAAAUAAAAAAUGCCACUCAGAAAAUUGGCAAAUGCGUCUCCAGGCAGCAAAUAUUUUUAGAUUACGGUCUUGUAGAAAUAUAAUUACAAUAAGUACUUAUUUUGUUUUAUCACAUAGCAUGUUUCAAAGAGGUUUUCAUGCAUGUUUCUUUUUCGGAUUACCAUUUUUAUUGACAAUAAGUUGCCCAUCUUUCUAUUUCUGAUCUGAUCUUUUGAUGUCUGUUGUUUUUGUCUGAAGCUCUGACUCUCUUCUAAUGUACUUUGCAUAUGAAGAGAAAGCUGGUUAUCCUGACUAGUAAAGAAGGGAUUAUUGAACCUGAAACUGUGAAGAGACACAAAAGCAACAAGAGGACAGAAACAAUUCAGGGCUUCAAUAAGCAGAGUACAAUCUAUUUAGUGACUGCAAUGUGGAAAUCUCUAAUGUCAGCAAGACUGUGUUGAGAGGAACACAUUUUCUUGUGAGUGAGCAUUCCUAGAGGAUGAGUAUCUUAGAGACUCAACGGCAUAUGUCUGCUAUGCAAGUAAUGAGUCCUCCAUCUAAUGGUGUACAAACUAUUCUGGAAGGAUCUGUUCAGGAUUUAUGAGGUGUUAGCAACCUACAGAGCAAGAACACUGAUACUUUUUGGUUACUCCAAAUUAUUAUUUAUAAAAUAUUAUUAUAACUUGGUGUUUGUUUUGCCAGGUAAGACUUCAGUCAGGGGCUCUGAGGUCGGUACUGUAUCCAGGGAAUUUAAAGUCCAGAUCUUAGUUUAAAAAAAAUGGCCUGUCAUCUUCACUCUAUUAUUGAAUUAGAGCCUGACAUCAUUAAUUUUAAUUUUACUGAAUAUAAAUAGCAACCCUAUAUUCUAUGCAUACUGUUUUGACUGUGGCAUUUAUUUAGAGAAGAAUGGAGACAAGAUGAUUCCAACUUAAAGGAAACUGGAAGUAUUCUGAGGAAACAAAUAGAGAAGUUCUGUGACCCAUGUUUUGGUGAAGUAAUGAUGACACAGGGAUACCCUGCCUCAUGAACGCUGGUGUGACUUCUCUCUUCUGUUCUUACCACUGGACAUGAUGGCUUGAUGAAGUCAGGCCACCUCGCUCUUCUAUGCUCUCAGUUCCAUCUUCUCAACUCGGAAAGCCUGCCAAGGUCCUUACAACAUCACAGCUGGGAAACUCUCAAAGCAGUAAACUUGGGCAAUAGUAGGCUUCACUCACAUCAUUGUUGUGUAUUUCCAGGUAUCAUUGUUCUCCAUCAUUUGGUGUACAGUACUUUAAAAAAGUUUCAUAUUCUUUGUCCAUUUUUUUAUUUAUGUGUGAUAAGGCAUGUCCAGUUCCUAUUAGUUUUUCCAUAACAUCUUGAUUCAUUCCUCCUGCAAAUUCUCGAUGAUCACUCCAUCCCUGGCUAUAUGCUUCUUGUUCACAGUGUAAAGGAGAAUAAAGACCAAUGUAAGCUAAACUCACAGAGAGAUAGAUAAUUUUAUUGGCAUUUGUAAUGCUAAAGAGAAGGUCAGAAUUGGCCUAUGUACAGUAUCUGUAGAAGUUUCCAUAGGGGACAUCCACUAGAAGUCAGUGAAUCAAACAUUUAAAAUGGAUAAUAUCUCUAAAAAAAUAUACUGUCUCUGUCAAUUAUAAUAUUUGACUCAUAAUAGCCUUAUUUUAUACUCAUUGAAAAAGCCCUUCAGAAUUGGUAAGAUGUAGCUUUUAUUUACAUAAAAAUGAAAACAUGUUGAAAUUAAUUUGUCAAUGAAUUUCUAAGGAUACAAUGAUAUUCUAAUUUUUCUGAAUCAGAUCUUGAUCCAGAGUCAUGUAUAUCUUAACAUCACUCUGUGGAAUGAAGAGUGAUACGAGUGAAACAUUUCCUAAUACAAGAGGCACCACUGUCUGUGUAAUUUCCAACUUCCCUGUUGACACCCAGUAUUGAUCUCAACUUUAAAUUAACUGUGGUCUGAGAAUAGAUGUUUCAUGAUUUCUAUUUUCUUAAAUUUAUUCAGGCCGGGCAUGGUGGCUCACGCCUGUAAUCCCAGCAC